This 107-nucleotide small nucleolar RNA is filed under the name Cephalotus follicularis. RNAcentral describes it as "Plant small nucleolar RNA R71". It matches the Rfam family "Plant small nucleolar RNA R71". Rfam says of the family: R71 is a member of the C/D box family of snoRNAs containing the C (UGAUGA) and D (CUGA) box motifs. The record is from Rfam by way of RNAcentral. Lineage: Eukaryota; Viridiplantae; Streptophyta; Magnoliopsida; Oxalidales; Cephalotaceae.
AAACCAUGAUGAGGGCACUCUAAGAGGAGGUCUUUAAAACGUUCCAUACAUUGAGAGAAUGAUUCAUUGGGUUUUUGGCAAAACAGGAGAAUGUCGUUCCUAAGUUU